UGCAUCGAUGAAGAACGUAGCAAACUGCGAUACUUGGUGUGAAUUGCAGAAUCCCGUGAACCAUCGAGUCUUUGAACGCAAGUUGCGCCCGAAGCCGUUAGGCCGAGGGCACGUCUGCCUGGGCGUCACGC
This 131-nucleotide ribosomal RNA is filed under the name Strychnos lucida. Its description in RNAcentral is "partial 5.8S ribosomal RNA". It matches the Rfam family "5.8S ribosomal RNA", at positions 29 to 154 of the family's 154-position model. From Rfam's summary of the family: 5.8S ribosomal RNA (5.8S rRNA) is a component of the large subunit of the eukaryotic ribosome. It is transcribed by RNA polymerase I as part of the 45S precursor that also contains 18S and 28S rRNA. Lineage: Eukaryota; Viridiplantae; Streptophyta; Magnoliopsida; Gentianales; Loganiaceae. The record is from RNAcentral.